RNAcentral lists this ribosomal RNA (406 nucleotides) under uncultured prokaryote. Its description in RNAcentral is "bacterial SSU rRNA". It matches the Rfam family "Bacterial small subunit ribosomal RNA", at positions 355 to 776 of the family's 1533-position model. The record is from RNAcentral. RNAcentral also lists the same sequence under 1 other name.
UAGGGAAUAUUGGGCAAUGGAGGCAACUCUGACCCAGCAACACCGCGUGAAUGAUGAAGGUCGUCGGAUUGUAAAGUUCUGAAAGGAGGGACGAAGAAAGUGACGGUACCUCCCCAAAAGCCACGGCUAACUACGUGCCAGCAGCCGCGGUAAUACGUAGGUGGCAAGCGUUGUCCGGAAUGACUGGGCGUAAAGCGUGCGUAGGUGGCCAUUCAAGUUAAUAGUGAAAUCCCGGGGCUCAACGCCGGUGCUACUGUUAAGACUGUGUGGCUUGAGUGCAGGAGGGGUAAGUGGAAUUCCUAGUGUAGCGGUGGAAUGCGUAGAUAUUAGGAGGAACACCAGUGGCGAAGGCGACUUACUGGACUGUAACUGACACUGAGGUACGAAAGCGUGGGGAGCAAACAGG